RNAcentral lists this ribosomal RNA (549 nucleotides) under uncultured bacterium. RNAcentral's name for it is "bacterial SSU rRNA". It matches the Rfam family "Bacterial small subunit ribosomal RNA", at positions 356 to 896 of the family's 1533-position model. The record is from RNAcentral.
GGGGAAUAUUGGACAAUGGGGGGAACCCUGAUCCAGCCAUGCCGCGUGUGUGAAGAAGGCCUUUUGGUUGUAAAGCACUUUAAGCGAGGAGGAGGCUACCGAGAUUAAUACUCUUGGAUAGUGGACGUUACUCGCAGAAUAAGCACCGGCUAACUCUGUGCCAGCAGCCGCGGUAAUACAGAGGGUGCAAGCGUUAAUCGGAUUUACUGGGCGUAAAGCGCGCGUAGGUGGCCAAUUAAGUCAAAUGUGAAAUCCCCGAGCUUAACUUGGGAAUUGCAUUCGAUACUGGUUGGCUAGAGUAUGGGAAAGGAUGGUAGAAUUCCAGGUGUAGCGGUGAAAUGCGUAGAGAUCUGGAGGAAUACCGAUGGCGAAGGCAGCCAUCUGGCCUAAUACUGACACUGAGGUGCGAAAGCAUGGGGAGCAAACAGGAUUAGAUACCCUGGUAGUCCAUGCCGUAAACGAUGUCUACUAGCCGUUGGGGCCUUUGAGGCUUUAGUGGCGCAGCUAACGCGAUAAGUAGACCGCCUGGGGAGUACGGUCGCAAGACUA